AUUGAACGCUGGCGGCAGGCCUAACACAUGCAAGUCGAACGAGUGGCGGACGGGUGAGUAAUGUCUGGGAAACUGCCCGAUGGAGGGGGAUAACUACUGGAAUCGGUAGCUAAUACCGCAUACCAUCGGAUGUGCCCAGAUGGGUUUAGCUUGUAGGUGCGGUAACGGCUCACCUAGGCGACGAUCCCUAGCUGGUCUGAGAGUAUGACCAGCCAAACUGUAACUGAUGAACGGUCCAGACGCCGACGGGAGGCAGCAGUGGGGAAUAUUGCACAAUGGGUGCAAGCCUGAUGCAGCCAUGCCGCGUGUAUGAAGAAGGCCUUCGGGUUGUAAAGUACUGUCAGCGGGGAGGCGUUACCCGCAGAAGAAGAACCGGCUAACUCCGUGCCCGCAGCCGCGGUAAUAC
RNAcentral lists this ribosomal RNA (406 nucleotides) under uncultured bacterium. Its description in RNAcentral is "partial 16S ribosomal RNA". It matches the Rfam family "Bacterial small subunit ribosomal RNA", at positions 30 to 526 of the family's 1533-position model. The record is from RNAcentral.